CCGCCUGUCUCGCGCGCCCUCGGCCUUCCUGCGCCUGUCUCUCCUGCUCCUCCCCGGCCUUCAGUCUCUGUCACCGUGCCCGGGACAGGACAGGACGAGGCCAGGCUGUGAGCCUCAGGCCCACCUGCUGCAGCUAAACCCACGGAAGGUUCCCACCGGAUGAGUCCAGGGCCACACCUGCGGCAUGUGGAGAUUGCCACCCUAGAGAUGGAAUCAAAGCCGCAGCUGCCGGCCUACGCCCCAGCCACAGCACUGGAUCCAAGCCGCGCCUGCGAGCUACACUGCAGCUUGUGAAGGCCCACAAGCCGCCGGGUGAAACCAGGAAUAGAACCUGCACCUCGUGGCUACGAGUCGAAUGUUUAACCCACUGAGCCACAAUGGGAACUCUGGCUGUGCUGUUUUAAGCCAUGGCUACAAAUCUUUGACUUUCCUUCCAAUGAACGGCAAAGACUCUCUGCACAUCUGGGGGGCUUGUGACGGGUUUGCCAGCCCCAGUGGAGCAGCCCAAAGUGACAGACAGAACCCCGGGUCUAGGUCAUAAAGGACCUGCAGCUCCGCCCAGGAUGCUGCCCGAAGCCCUGAGCGAGGGCACAGGCAGACAGGCCCAGGGAGAGCCAGCUACUCGGGUCACCCCAGCUGCACACAGGGGUUAGGAAGCCCCAGCCGUUCUCAUCUGUGACCCUCCCCUGAACCCCAGACAUGACCUGAGUGAUGAUUCUCCCAGGGCAGAGUGUCCCAGAACCCAGCAGGGCUGCAGGAGAAGCCGACGUGCUCCCUGUAGAGGAAGCCAGCUGGGGGAGGCCGCAGGACCCCUCAAACUCAUUGAUCGGUCACCCCAGAAGUGACACCACCACACCCUGCCCGAACUCUCAUCCCCAGAAAUGAGGGCCAUGAGGCGGCUGUAUGACGCCUCCAAGUGCUGGAGGAGGAGGUGGGACAGCUGCCCAGGGCCCCUCUCCAGGCACUGGGCCACAGGCUCGGCUCCAGGUACAGAUCCAGGCACAUCCUGCCUGGGGUGGCCGCCACAACCCAGCCCAUGAGAAUCACUGGGGGCGCCCCUCCCCACGCCCCCCCAGGCCCUAGGCUGCACCAGACAGCAUCGACACCCAGACUCCAAAGGACACAGUGACACUGCGGCCUAGACCCAAGACGCAGUCCACCCACCAUUCCCCAGAGCCUGGUGGAGGCCUGAUGGGUCCUCCGGCCCAAAGGUUUGCAGGAAGCUCGGUGCAGACAGUGCGGGCAGGACCCUGACGCCAGCUGGGGCGGAUGUUACGCGCAGGUCAGGCGUCGUUACCAGGUCUUCUGUUACAUCCUUGAAUGGGGCAAACAGACUGAACUAAGAAGAAUGGAAACUUCCACACAAACAAAAAAGCAAAAUAGGAAAAAAUGCACGUAAACAGAAAAAAAAAAAA
This 1415-nucleotide long non-coding RNA is filed under the name Sus scrofa (pig). Its description in RNAcentral is "lncRNA (ENSSSCG00030003808.1)". The record is from RNAcentral. Lineage: Eukaryota; Metazoa; Chordata; Mammalia; Artiodactyla; Suidae.